UACGUAGGGGGCGAGCGUUACCCGGAUUUACUGGGCGUAAAGCGCGUGUAGGCGGCUGGCCAAGCGUGGUGUGAAAUCUUCGGGCUUAACCCGAAAACUGCAUUGCGAACUGGUCUGGCUAGAGUGUGUGAGAGGGUAGUGGAAUUCCCGGUGUAGCGGUGAAAUGCGUAGAUAUCAGGAGGAACACCGGUGGUGUAGACGGCUCUCUGGACCGUAACUGACGCUGAGACACGAAAGCGUGGGUAGCAAACAGG
RNAcentral lists this ribosomal RNA (254 nucleotides) under uncultured bacterium. RNAcentral's name for it is "partial 16S ribosomal RNA". It matches the Rfam family "Bacterial small subunit ribosomal RNA", at positions 524 to 776 of the family's 1533-position model. The record is from RNAcentral.